AUUGAACGCUGGCGGCAUGCCUUACACAUGCAAGUCGAACGGUAACGGGCCUUCGGGUGCCGACGAGUGGCGAACGGGUGAGUAAUACUUCGGAACGUGCCCGAUCGUGGGGGAUAACGAGGCGAAAGCUUUGCUAAUACCGCAUACGAUCUACGGAUGAAAGCAGGGGACCGCAAGGCCUUGCGCGGACGGAGCGGCCGAUGGCAGAUUAGGUAGUUGGUGGGAUAAAAGCUUACCAAGCCGACGAUCUGUAGCUGGUCUGAGAGGAUGAUCAGCCACACUGGGACUGAGACACGGCCCAGACUCCUACGGGAGGCAGCAGUGGGGAAUUUUGGACAAUGGGCGCAAGCCUGAUCCAGCCAUGCCGCGUGCAGGAUGAAGGCCUUCGGGUUGUAAACUGCUUUUGUACGGAACGAAAAGCCUUCUUUUAAUACAGGAGGGUCAUGACGGUACCGUAAGAAUAAGUACCGGCUAACUACGUG
This 482-nucleotide ribosomal RNA is filed under the name uncultured bacterium. RNAcentral describes it as "partial 16S ribosomal RNA". It matches the Rfam family "Bacterial small subunit ribosomal RNA", at positions 30 to 507 of the family's 1533-position model. The record is from RNAcentral.